This is a non-coding RNA of Enterococcus sp. HSIEG1, 83 nucleotides long. The record is from Rfam. Lineage: Bacteria; Bacillati; Bacillota; Bacilli; Lactobacillales; Enterococcaceae.
GUCCGUUGCAAGUUCCCGAAAGGAUUCGCAGCUGCGAAGAUGCCUUGUAACCGAAUCGAAAUUUAGGGGGAAUACAAAAAAUG